CAGCCACCGCGGGAAUACGAAGGGGGCUAGCGUUGCUCGGAAUGACUGGGCGUAAAGGGCGCGUAGGCGGCGGCCAAAGUCAGGCGUGAAAUUCCCGGGCUCAACCUGGGGGCUGCGUUUGAUACUUGGUUGCUUGAGUGGGGAAGAGGGUCGUGGAAUUCCCAGUGUAGAGGUGAAAUUCGUAGAUAUUCGCAAGAACACCAGUGGCGAAGGCGGCUCACUGGCCCAUAACUGACGCUGAGGCACGAAAGCGUGGGGAGCAAACAGGAUUAGAUACCCCCGUAGUCCCUGUCUCUUAUAC
Molecule: ribosomal RNA, 301 nt
Filed under: uncultured bacterium
Lineage: Bacteria
Description: partial 16S ribosomal RNA
Rfam family: Bacterial small subunit ribosomal RNA
Source: RNAcentral